Molecule: ribosomal RNA, 497 nt
Filed under: uncultured bacterium
Lineage: Bacteria
Description: partial 16S ribosomal RNA
Rfam family: Bacterial small subunit ribosomal RNA
Source: RNAcentral
GAUGAACGCUGGCGGCGUGCCUAAUACAUGCAAGUCGAGCGAACGGACGAGAAGCAUGCUUCUCUGAUGUUAGCGGCGGACGGGUGAGUAACACGUGGAUAACCUACCUAUAAGACUGGGAUAACUUCGGGAAACCGGAGCUAGUACCGGAUAAUAUUUUGAACCGCAUGGUUCAAAAGUGAAAGACGGUCUUGCUGUCACUUAUAGAUGGAUCCGCGCUGCAUUAGCUAGUUGGUAAGGUAACGGCUUACCAAGGCAACGAUGCAUAGCCGACCUGAGAGGGUGAUCGGCCACACUGGAACUGAGACACGGUCCAGACUCCUACGGGAGGCAGCAGUAGGGAAUCUUCCGCAAUGGGCGAAAGCCUGACGGAGCAACGCCGCGUGAGUGAUGAAGGUCUUCGGAUCGUAAAACUCUGUUAUUAGGGAAGAACAUAUGUGUAAGUAACUGUGCACAUCUUGACGGUACCUAAUCAGAAAGCCACGGCUAACUACGUG